UUCUACAGCCAUACUACCCUGAACAUGCCAAAUCUCAUUUGAUCUCAGAAACUAAGCAGGGUUGGGCCUGGUUCGUAUUGGAUGUGAGAAGAGAAUCUUGACUGGGCAGAAGAGA
This is a ribosomal RNA of Aotus nancymaae (Ma's night monkey), 115 nucleotides long. The record is from Ensembl. NCBI's taxonomy places the organism in Eukaryota, Metazoa, Chordata, Mammalia, Primates, Aotidae.